GACGAACGCUGGCGGCGUGCUUAACACAUGCAAGUCGAACGGUAAGGCCCUGCUUUUGUUUUGUGCUCGAGUGGCGAACGGGUAAGUAACACGUGAUUUACCUUCCCUUGACUUUUGGAUAACUUCAGUUAACUUUGGCUCAUCCCGGUUAGUAGCUCCUGCUUCUUGGUUGUGUUUGGAUAGUUUCGGAGGUUGGUGAUGGACUCUCGGCUUAUCUGCUUGUUGGUGUGGUAGUUUCUUACCAAGGGUUUGACGGGUAGCCGGCCUGAGGGGGUGACCGGCAAAAUGGGGAGUGAGAUACGGCACAGAGUACUAAGGGAGGCAGCAGUGGGGAAGAUUGAACAAUGGGGGGAAGCCGGAUGCAGGAACGCCGCGGGAGGGAUGACGGUCUGCGGGUAGAAAAGAGGUUACGCCUGUGACGAAGCGUGAGUGACGGUAAUGGAGAAAGAAGCACCGGCUAACUACGUG
Molecule: ribosomal RNA, 468 nt
Filed under: uncultured bacterium
Lineage: Bacteria
Description: partial 16S ribosomal RNA
Rfam family: Bacterial small subunit ribosomal RNA
Source: RNAcentral